RNAcentral lists this long non-coding RNA (4993 nucleotides) under Gossypium barbadense (sea-island cotton). Its description in RNAcentral is "long non-coding RNA (GBAR_LNC012823)". Lineage: Eukaryota; Viridiplantae; Streptophyta; Magnoliopsida; Malvales; Malvaceae. The record is from RNAcentral.
ACCACAAUCAAUCAAUGGUGAGUUAUUCAAAUAUACAAGUUGCAUAAUCCGUUCAAUAAUACGAAUUCAAUCAAUAUCAAUUCACGAUAUACUAUCGAAAAUCAAGCAAAAAUUUAUACAAUUUAAUACACAAGUCAUUUAACCAUUUAAAAUCUACCCGAUGAACGAUAUCACAGAUAUGGAUACGCGGUUAUCCACUAUAACAUGCCAAAACACUCCAAUGAGCCAAUCCAACUGAGAACACGUCUUGGCACCAAGUGCCUAGCCUAUAGGCUAACAUCCCUCCAGAAACACUCCUCGGCACCAAGUUCCAAGCCCAAAGGCUUUACAUCCGCCCCCAGUAACACGCCAAAAACACUGUAAAUAUAACACGAUAGUCCGCAACAAAUGCUGGACUCCAAUAUAUUCAGUGGACAGGAAUAAAUAAGGAAUCAUCAUCUCAUCACAAGUCAAUCUCAUACAGCACACAAUAUAACUUAUUGGCAUGCCAAUUGUGUCCUAUCCUAUGUUCAUCUGAGCUUGAGACAAAUAAUCACAUAAUAUUUUACAAAUCAAUUACAUUUCUCACCUUAAAUUAACUUUAUGAUUAUAGCAUUAUAUAAAUAUAUAUAUAUAUGAAUAUUCAACAAAUAAUAACUCACAAGUCAAUAUAAUAUUAUAAUUUAUUCUAAUUUAAAUCAUACGAAGUUAUCAGGGCUAAACAGCGAAGAUGGCAACAUCAGUAAAUUUCUCUUUUCUACAAUUAUCUACCGAUCCUUGAUCUAUACAAUAAUUUUUAUUUCAAAUAUCAGUCCCAAAUACAUUAUAAAAUUCCAUUUAAUACAUAUGAUUUCUUAAUUGACAUUUUUCACAAUUUCUUAAAGUUUUGCAUUUUGUUCAAUUUAGUCCCUAACCCCGAAACUCUAACAUUUAUCACAAUUAAAUCAAAUUCAAGAUAACUGAAUUCUCUCUCAUACAUAAAAAAUCCAUAAUUAUUGAAAUUUCUCAAGAAUUUCAUGCUAAAUUUUUUAUUUUAUCAAUUUAGUCUUUAAAAUUUAAAAUCAACUAAAAUCACUAUACAAAAUAAUCCUAAUCAACAACCAACACUUCAAAUUCAUUAUUUAAUAUCACAAAUAAAAAAUAUUCAUCAAUGGUAAAAUCCAAAAUCAUUCAUAGAAAUACAGGUUAGCUGGACCUAAUUGCAACAAUCUCAAAAAUAUAAAAAUUAUUAAAAAUGAGCUUUGAAAACGUUACGAUGCAAGAAAAAUGGUUUUGCCGAAAGUAAGAAGCUCUCAACCAUGGUUGUUCGGUGUAGAGAAAAAGAAAUGAAGAAGAUAACUUCCUUUUUUAAUGCUUUUUAUCUUUUAAUUCAUUUAGUUUAACUUAAUUUAAUUAAUGUAUAAUUAUAAAUAUUCAUUUAUCACAUACAUCAACCGCCCACUAAGAUAAAAAUGGCAUAAUUUUCAUAUAGAUCCUUAAAUAAUUGUUAAUUAUGCCUUUUAAAAAAUAGUAACUAAUAUCGAUUAAUUUUUACAGCUUUUAUGAUUUAGUCCUUUUUUCCUUAAUUGACCAAUCAAACAUUUAAAACUUAAAAACUGAACAUUCACAUACUAAGAUAAUUGCUCCUAAAAUAAUUAAUAAAAAUAUUCACAAUCUCGAUAUAUAGAAAUGAGGUCCCGAUACCUCUUUUUUCAAAACCACUUGACUUUCAGGGCAAUCACCUAUAGUUAACCAUUUAUUCAAUUAGAUAAAAUUUAUCUAAUAAAAACUCAAUAUAAAACUAUAAUCGACUCAUAUGAAUUAAAUAAUAAUUAAUACUAUCUUACUCGUCAAAUUUGUGGUCUUAAAACCACUAUUGACACCAUUGAAAAGAGGGUUGUUACAACUUAAUUGAAAACUAAGAUAAGCUUUUGUUUAAUGUUUACGAACUUACUAAACAUUCUAUACACUUACUCCGUUUGUUUUCCAUUUUCCCUUUUCCCUUAUAGGUCAUGUAACGACCUAAAAAGUCGUUUCAGAAAUUACAAUUUCGAGACCCCAUUUUCGUAAAUCAAGCUCAUAAAUAUUAUUUAUUAUUUAUGGAAUUAUUAUACAAGUGAAUUAAAUUUUGGAUAGAUAAUUUUUGUUGAAUUAGUUUUUAAUUAAGACUCAUAGACUAAUUUUUGUUGAAUUAGUUUUUAAAUCAUGGGUUAAGGACUAAAUUGGUAAUUAUACCUAUAACACCCCUAACCCGAAUCCGUCGUCAGAACAAGUUUAUGGAGUAUUACCAGAGUUUACAGAUUAAAUAGACAGAAAUUUCAAACAUUUCACAUCAUAUAAUAUUCAUAUCAUAAACCAACCAUGUAACACCCUAACCUGUAUCCGCCGUCAAAAUAGGGUUUCAGAGUAUUACUAAAAUUUGCAGAUCACUAAAAAAAUUCAAUUAAAUACUUACCGAUUCAAUGCAUCAUAUAAAUAAAUAUAUUAUCACUCAAUCAAUAGCUUGGCACUUGUAUAGGCAUCAAACAACAACAUUGUUAGUACACUAGUACAUAUUUCAUAUAAAUUCAACAUUGAUAUACUUAUUUUCUCGACAUGUCACACUUGAGUUUAAUAAUUGUCUUUACUUACAUAAUUUCCUUGUAUCAACAUAUCAAAGAUAAUCAUAUAUGUACAUGUCAUGAAACAUAUCAUUCUCUUACCGUUUCUUCAUAAGUAUAUAUCAUUUAUUUCAUUAUAUCAAUAUUUCAUGCUCCAUCAUUUCCAUAUAUUUUAUGUAUAUUUAUUUCGGUAAUAGUUUAUAUCAAACUUAACAUAAAUUAUAUUCCAUGUACUUAUACUUAUUUCAUUUAUCUAUCUUCAUAAUUAUUUCAUACAACUAUUUUAUACAUAUAUUUCCAUAUGACCAGUUCUUGUAAACAUUUCACACAACCAUUGCAUAUAACCAUUCGUCAUCUGAUACAUAUUACCUGAAUAUCAAUUGUUCAAUAGAUGUCAUAGCGUCUCCCAUCCACGGUCUUAUUUAUCUUUGACAUGAUGCCAUAGUGUCUUUCAACUAUGGUCUUAUUCAUUUUCUGUCAUGUUGCCAUGGUAUCUUUCAACCAUGGUCUUAUUCAUUUCAUGUCACGCUGCCAUGGUAUCUUUCAACCAUGGUCUUAUUCAUUUUCCAUCAUGUUGCCAUGGUAUCUUUCAACCAUGGUCUUACACAUUUCAUAUCAUGUUGCUAUGGUAUCUUUCAGCCAUGGUCUUAUUCAUUUCAUGUCACGUUGCCAUGGUAUCUUUCAACCAUGGUCUUACACAUUUCAUUUCAAAGAGCACACUCCCGCGAACCUCAUCCUUACAGCGGGAUUACCAGUCCAGGCUAAAUCCCCUGUAAUAUAAACUCAUAGAGUAUUGUCAGGAUUACCAGUCCAGGCUAAAUCCCCUGCAACGACAAUUACUCUAAUGAGCUUGGAUCUGAAUUACCAGUCCAGGCUAAAUUCAGACCCUAAUUUGGAUUACUCGUCUGGGCUAAAUCCAUUUACACGUAUUCUUCGAGAGGGCUAUAUCAGGAUAGGAUCACUCGUCCGGGCUAGAUCCUUUUUACCGUCAAUUCAUUUUCAGAGAUCCAUCGAAUUUUCUUUUUAUUCAACCGAGAUUUCUUCCCCUUUUAUCAAAUAUGUUAAUGUUUCAUCAAUUUUCAUACAAUGAAGAUUCAAAUCAUAUUCAUAUCAAAAACAUACAUUUUAAGCAUUUAAGAAUAUAAUUCAAGUUAUACGAACUUACCUAGCGAAAUUGCAGAAAUAUCAAGAUUUAGGGACAUUUUGGUAAUUUACUAUUUUCUCAAUUUUCACCCGAUCAUAAAUUGAAAAUUUCACUCAAUUUAUUAAUUUAGAUAAUAAAACAAUUCGUUCCUUCAAUUUGAUCAUUUUUGACAUUUUUACAAAAUUGCCCCCUGAAGUUUUACUUUUAUUCAAUUUAGUCCUUAAGCCUAAAACAUGCAAAUUAGCCAUGCUAGCUGAAUAUUCAUAUAUAUUUUCCUCCUCCUCUCCAUUCCACAUCCUUAAUGUAUAUAACACACUUGUAAGUAACAUUAUCUAUAAUUUUUAUUAUUUACUUUUAUGAAUAUUCAAGUUGUCCAUCUGUGUCAUAGUCACUAAAUUAUUUAUAUAUGGAGCUCUAGAACUCUAAAUUAAGAUCUGCUAAUUUUUCCUGAAACUAGACUCAUAUAUAUUCUUACCAUAAAAUUUUCAGAAUUUUUGGUUUAUUCAAUAAAUACAGUUUAUUCUUUAAAGUUACUCAUGUUCUGCUGUCUAACAGUUGUGACCCUUCUUCACUAAAAAUUAAUUAUCUCCUCGUACAGAAUUCUAAUGAUGUUCCUGUUUAUUUCUAUUAAAAAUAGACUCAUUCAAGAUUCUAAACAUAUAAAUUUAAGCCCAUAAUUAUUUUUAUAUAAUUUUGAUAAUUUUUCGAAGUCAGAAUAGGGGAAACCGAAAUUAUUCUGAUCUUAUCUCACAAAAUUUAUUAUAUCUCAUGAUUUAUAAUUUCAUUGUUUACACCGUUUCUUUUAUAAGAAACUAGACUCAAUAAUAUUUAAUUUCAUAUUUUAUUCAUCCUAUAAUUCUAUUUCUACAAUUUUUGGUGAAUUUUCAAAGUUAGACUACUGCUGCUGUUCAAAACUGUUUUAGUGUAAAAUGUUAAUUUUCAUUUUGUCUCAAAUUUCACAGUCAUACAAUUCAGUCCUUAUUUCAGUUCUAACUUGAAAAUUCUAUCAAUUUAAUCCCUAAUUCAAUCAUUUCAUUCAAGAUAAACAGUAUCUAGAAAUCUAAUAACUUUCAAAAUAUCAACUUGACUUUAUCAAAACGUUAUUCCAAAACUUCUAAAACAUCAAAAUUAAAAAAAAUGACUUAAUUGACUUACCUAUUAAACUUCCAAGCUUCACACCUUGAAUUUUCCCUUUUCUUCUUUCUUUUCUCUUUUUCUUUCUUUCCUUCCCCUGCUCUCUGUUUCGUUUGCUUUUUCUUCAUUUUCUAUUCUUUUUCUUUCUUUAUUUCCU